Molecule: ribosomal RNA, 684 nt
Filed under: uncultured fungus
Lineage: Eukaryota; Fungi
Description: eukaryotic LSU rRNA
Rfam family: 5.8S ribosomal RNA (bases 221-374)
Source: RNAcentral
AGUCGUAACAAGGUUUCCGUAGGUGAACCUGCGGAAGGAUCAUUACUGAGACUGGGUGCUUCGGCGCCCGACCUCCAACCCCCUGUUUACCUUACCACUGUUGCCUCGGCGUUCCCGCCCGCGUCCCCCUCGCGGGGGGUGCUGGGUGGUGCGCCGGCGGCCAAAACUACAAACCCUUUCUCUAAACUAGCAAUCUGAGAAAUUAUUUUAAUAACUUCAAAACUUUCAACAACGGAUCUCUUGGUUCUGGCAUCGAUGAAGAACGCAGCGAAAUGCGAUAAGUAAUGUGAAUUGCAGAAUUCAGUGAAUCAUCGAAUCUUUGAACGCACAUUGCGCCCUCUGGUAUUCCGGAGGGCAUGCCUGUUCGAGCGUCAUUAUCAACCAUCAAGCUCUGCUUGGAAUUGAGCGUCACCCCCCCCUCACCGGGGUGGGAGCGCUUCAAACCGGUCGGCGGUGGCUCAGGCCUCUUAAGCGUUAGUAGAUGGAAGCCAAUUUAUGGAAUCCUCUUCGAAAUUCAAUGGCGAAGACCCUUGCUCUCCCAAGUGUAGUAAUAACUUAUGUCACUGAAGGAAGCGAGAAAUCUUCUGCCGUAACCCCCAUAUUUUCUAUGAUUGACCUCGGAUCAGGUAGGGAUACCCGCUGAACUUAAGCAUAUCAAUAAGCGGAGGAUGGAAGUAAAAGUCG